UCGAGGCGAACAAUUUGACCAGAAGGUCA
Molecule: small RNA, 29 nt
Filed under: Bombyx mori (domestic silkworm)
Lineage: Eukaryota; Metazoa; Arthropoda; Insecta; Lepidoptera; Bombycidae
Description: ovarian small RNA-28387
Source: RNAcentral